Molecule: ribosomal RNA, 108 nt
Filed under: Proteus mirabilis
Lineage: Bacteria; Pseudomonadati; Pseudomonadota; Gammaproteobacteria; Enterobacterales; Morganellaceae
Description: partial 23S ribosomal RNA
Rfam family: Bacterial large subunit ribosomal RNA
Source: RNAcentral
GGUUAAGCGAAUAAGCGUACACGGUGGAUGCCUAGGCAAUCAGAGGCGAUGAAGGACGUGCUAAUCUGCGAAAAGCGUCGGUAAGGUGAUAUGAACCGUUACACCCGA